RNAcentral lists this long non-coding RNA (4310 nucleotides) under Podarcis lilfordi (Lilford's wall lizard). Lineage: Eukaryota; Metazoa; Chordata; Lepidosauria; Squamata; Lacertidae. The record is from RNAcentral.
AAGCAAGCGGAUCAACAGUACAAAAUUCCCCCAGCUGUGAGAACCACAUGGGCUACUCGGAAUCAGAUUUAAGCUAACAGAUGAAAAUACAUUUGCCAAAAUAAGGUAAUGAAACAUUCAGUAUUAGCACAGAGAUCAGGCUGAGGGCCAAGGCCUGCCUCUUUUGUGAAAGGAAUGAUUUGGGGGAAUCACUGCCCUUUGAAUUAUUGUUAAUGUAGCUGUAGUCAGGCUUAAGUGUCCCCUAGUUGUAUUUACUGUCUGCAGCACAAACACAUAGAUAAGACAUGGAAUGAAAUGCUGGCUUUACUGGAGGAAAUGGGACUUUUGCCAAGGAUACAGAGGAGCCAAGAUCUCACCCAUAGUUCUUAGUCACCCAGAUCUAGAAAUCUAUCUAAUUUAAAGAAAGGCAAGAAAAGGCACAGAUAACUGCCCAGGCUUUUCAUAUGUAUAAUUUGAUGUUGCCAAAUAACCUCACAUCUUUGACUAGAGCUAGGGACUGCUCAUGGUCUCCUGGAGGCAAAUCAUUCCUUGUAGGCCUGCAUUGUAGAGGGUUAGACUAGAUGGCACUUGGGGUCCCUCCCAACGCUACAAUUCUAAGAUUCUAUAGGUCACCUCUUAGGUCUGAGUGAGCCCAGGCUUAGUUUUGAGUUCACAUGACUGGGUUCAUAAUUCUUAAAUAUCAAUCACACUGCUUAUUUACUUAUUAUUUCUUUCCUGGCCUUCCACCAAGGCGCUCAGCAGAACAUGUUUGUUUCGCAUCAGCUCUGUGAGGCAAAUUAGGCUGAGAGAUAGAGACUUUCUCAAGUCCAGCCCAUGAGCCUAAUAGGCAAGUGCAGAUUUGAAUCUGCAUCUUCCAUAUCCAAUACUAAUCAAAUUCAAACUUUUGGGUAAACCUCAGGCUGAUGCAUUCCCCACUUCCUUCAUUUGGCCAUGAGGAACAAUUUGGAAGCAUUUGCUUCUAUUUUCCAUUAACCACGGUUUAGUGUUGCCCUAAUCCUAAACUGUGGUUAAUGUUAACUGUGAUAUUGUGAUUAAGGUGGGGGGGAAUAUCAAAUGUUUUUAAUUGUUUUUAAUUGUUUUAAUUUUGACUGCAUUGUUUUAUUAAUGAUACAUUUGCCACCCUGGGCUCCUUUGGGAAGAAGGGCAAGGGAUCCAUUUUAAGUCAAUAAAUGCAUAAAUGAAUGCAAGUGAAUGGUUUGGAACCCCUUCUUAUUGUCAUGCAAGAGGAGAAACUGCUGCUUUAGACUUUAUACUAUUGGUCCUUGGGCUGCUCUGAAGGAUUUCAGGUGGGGUUUCUCCCAGCUUGACCUGGAAAUGCCACAGAUUUUUAAUUGUUUGAUGGUUUAAUCUUUAAAAAAUACACUGCAGAAUAACGUUCCCCCCAAAAUGGAUUGGCCCUAGUAACAAAUAGCGAGCCUCUGUGUCCUGCUUUACACAGUCCUCUGUUUGCAGGGAUAUCCAGUCCUCACCCAGUUUAAAGAUAAAGAAGCAUAGGGAGGCAGAACAAGAGACUUGAAGUUGCCUUUCAAUAGUUAACUCCUGAACACCAAUGUGAGCAGGCACACAGGUGACCUGGUUGUAGUCCUCCCCAUUAUGAACAGUUUCUAAAUUUCUAUUUAAAUUGCAGUAUUUCCCUCCUAUAUUUGCAUAUAUACAUAUCAAUGAGUAUGUGCAAAAUUUAUGCAUUUUAAUAGGAGGAGGGGUGCAUUUUCUCUUUUUGGCUACCCUACUGCUGACAAUCCACUGGAGAAAGGGGAGCUAAAAUCCCAGCAGACAAGUCAGGGGACGCUAUCUGAAGAUGAGUGCAUGGAAAGGAGAAAAGCACAAUAAAAGCUGAAGGCUCUGAAUAAUAUACGCAUUUGCAGCACAAAAUGUUGGAAAGAAUGAGUGUGCUUGUUGAUACAGAGGUGGAGGAUCACUAGUUUACGAGAGAGAGAGAGAGAGAGAGAGAGAGAGAGAGAGAGAGAGGAAAUUCUACCAGGCAAGGUCAGGCAGAUCAUUAUCAGCUCCAACUCUCCCAUAAGCAUUCUUUACCUGAAACUCAUUUAAAAGGGUGAGGCUUGUUCCUGAAUAUGGAAACAAAGAAAUAACCUCUAGCUUGAUCUUUGCAAAUGAGUACCCCAGGGACCAACAAUAAGCCUGGGGGCAAACAUGCAAGCAAACACACUCUGGGAAGGCGAGAUCAGAUUUGCAAAGCCAUCUGAUUGCUUCACAUGCAAUACUAUACCCACAGUUUACUGGGAAUAAGGCCCAUUCAACUAAGCAGGACUCCAGUACUGUGUUUAUAGAAUUGCACAACCAGGGACCAAAAUGAAAGACCGGGUCAGGAUGUGGGAGAAAGAGAAUCAUUGCUAAUAGGUGGGAUUCUGUGUCACAGGGAAGGGGUACCCAAAGGGAGAGGCAUAGACUCACCCUCCAACAUCCUGCUGAUCAAAAUUGGAGCACUCAGGGGUUUUGGUCCCAAGCUCUUGUGGGAGCCAGUUGAUUCGCAGGAGAGUGCAGGAACUAAAGCUGCUCAUUUUUUGGACUCAUACAAGAGUGCUGGACCAAAAAAAUGAGCAUCUUUUGGUCCAGUGCUCUCACGCAAGCUAGCUGACUCAUGCCAGAGUGCAGUACCAAAAUAUGGGACAUUCUGGGAUCCAAUCAGAAGCUGGGGUGGCUUCUGUAAUUCCAGGAUGUCCCAACUCAAAUCAGGAUGGUUGAGGAGUAUGUAGACCUCGGUGGGGCAGAGAACUUUUCCAUCUGGUCCAGGGUGCUCAUCACCAGCAGGCUGAUGUUGCAUGCCCAGGAGGGCUACUGAACUGAUUGCCUUCUGGACUACCCAUAAAGGUAAAGGUAAAGGGACCAUUGACCGUUAGGUCCAGUCGUGACCGACUCUGGGGUUGCGGCGCUCAUCUCGCUUUACUGGCUAAGGGAGCCUGCAUACAGCUUCCAGGUCAUGUGGCCAGCAUGACUAAGCCGCUUCUGACGAACCAGAGCAGCGCACGGAAACACUGUUUACCUUCCUGCCGCAGCAGUACCUAUUUAACUACUUGCACUUUGUCAUGCUUUCGAACUGCUAGGUUGGCAGGAGCAGGGACCGAGCAACGGGAGCUCACCCCGUUGUGGGGAUUCAAACCGCCGACCUUCUGAUCGGCAAAUCCUAGGCUCUGUGGUUUAACCCACAGUGCCACCCGCAUCCUGGACUACCCAUAGGACAAUGCUAAUGUGGAAUGUGGAACGCCCUCCCACCAGAUGUCAAAGAGAACAACAACUACCAGACUUUUAGACGACAUCUGAAGGCAGCCCUAUUUAGGGAAGCUUUUAUGCAUUACUGUAUUUUAAUAUUGUGUUGGAAGCCGCCCAGAGUGGCUGGGGAAACCCAGCCAGAUGGGGGGGGGGGAUAUAAAUAAUAAAUAAUAAUAAUUAUUAUUAUUAUUACAAAUGAACCUACAGUGUCAAAUUUAACAAAUGUUUUAAACUUCAUGUACCAGAUGUCAUAACAAAAUCCCAAACAUGCAAUUGUGCUUAACUUUGAAAUGUUCGUUUUAUGCUUUCUAAGACACCACACGGCAAAAACGGACUGCCUACAGCCUCCCUCCCAGCUGUAGGGCAGGCAGAGUGGGAGGAGGCAAGCAUAAUACUGUAUGGGGGCGUCCUAUCCAUGGGGGCAUCCAAUACAUGGAAAAAUAUGGUAAAAACGCUUAUUUAGAUGUGCUUGUCUCCUCUGGGGCUUGUACCCCUGCCCCUGGCCUGGCCAUUCAUCUUCUCUGAUGCCCACUGCCCACAUUAGUGUGCGGUAGUUUCAUUCUGAAAAAGGAAAGGAAGCAGAAAAAGAAACAAUGACACAAUAAUUGCUACAAUAUAGAUGGACUGAUAGGGUCGUGUUUCUUCAGCUGUCAGUUGCUGGAGGUGCAGUUUUAGUUCUAGGUAGAAGACAUCAGAUCCCCAAUUUAGAGACCUCUUAAAUGUGAAAACAAAGGCUAACUGACCACCAUAAAAUUGGUUUCUGAUUCAUCCAGCAUUUUGCUUAUUUUUCUGAGUACCUUUAUAAAAGAAGUUUGAUUUUAAAAUUAUGUCUCCUUUUUGUGUCAUCCAACAGCCAUUUAAGAGGAGAGCUUGAUGGAUUGCGCAAGGCAACUUUAAAUUCAAUUACAGACUGUUCUUCUUGGGAUGUUCCUGGGCUUCCUCUGCGCAGUACAAUGAAGGGCAGCUCUUUGAAGAAUUACAGGCGGCAGCUGUUGAUGGCUCUCCGUAAUAGCCAAACAGUGCUUUAUCUGAUGGAAAGUCAUGUCCCCAAAGCUGGUUGAAAUAAAGAGAGAUGUACUGGG